CGCAGGGUGGGCAAGUCCGGUCCAAGCCGCGUGGCUCAUAACCACGAAAUCGCAGGUUCAAAUCCUGCCCCUGCAACCA
RNAcentral lists this transfer RNA (79 nucleotides) under Rhizobium sp. R339. Its description in RNAcentral is "tRNA-Met". It matches the Rfam family "tRNA". From Rfam's summary of the family: Transfer RNA (tRNA) molecules are approximately 80 nucleotides in length. Their secondary structure includes four short double-helical elements and three loops (D, anti-codon, and T loops). Lineage: Bacteria; Pseudomonadati; Pseudomonadota; Alphaproteobacteria; Hyphomicrobiales; Rhizobiaceae. The record is from RNAcentral.